Meriones unguiculatus (Mongolian gerbil) is the source of this 442-nucleotide long non-coding RNA. RefSeq lists it as uncharacterized. Lineage: Eukaryota; Metazoa; Chordata; Mammalia; Rodentia; Muridae. The transcript has 3 exons. The record is from RefSeq and is a predicted model, not a curated record.
GAGAAGGUAUGGACCAGAUUAGAGGUGUGCCUCAAGGACUGGAUUAAAGGUGUAUGUCCGUCUGGAUUAAGACUGUGAGUCACGCCACCUCAGGAUCUGCCUUCCAGCCUCAAGAUCCAGAUCAAAGACACGUUGUCUUCCUGCCUCAAGAUCUGGGUCACAGAAACAUAUGGACUGGGCCCAGAGAUGAAGACCGAUUUCUAGGCCAAAAGCUUUCUUAAACUCCUAAAUCUCCGUUCUAAACCAGUGGGAUCUGUGAGUUCUUGUCUACGAGUCAUUGGAGCAUUAAAAAGUUGGGCCUGAAGGUUUGACAGCUCAACAGGUGCAAAAAACCAGUGACACUCACUGGAACCUUACCUGCACACCCAUGCUCAUUCAUCCUCAUUUAUAUAGAUGUCAUUCCUGUUUCCUUCUCUGUUCAAUACCUGUAACAAUAAUAAAA